This 373-nucleotide ribosomal RNA is filed under the name uncultured organism. Its description in RNAcentral is "partial 16S ribosomal RNA". It matches the Rfam family "Bacterial small subunit ribosomal RNA", at positions 527 to 896 of the family's 1533-position model. The record is from RNAcentral.
GUAGGUGGCAAGCGUUGUCCGGAAUUAUUGGGCGUAAAGCGCGCGCAGGCGGUUCUUUAAGUCUGAUGUGAAAGCCCACGGCUCAACCGUGGAGGGUCAUUGGAAACUGGAGAACUUGAGUACAGAAGAGGAAAGCGGAGUUCCACGUGUAGCGGUGAAAUGCGUAGAGAUGUGGAGGAACACCAGUGGCGAAGGCGGCUUUCUGGUCUGUAACUGACGCUGAGGCGCGAAAGCGUGGGGAGCAAACAGGAUUAGAUACCCUGGUAGUCCACGCCGUAAACGAUGAGUGCUAAGUGUUAGGGGGUUUCCGCCCCCCUUAGUGCUGCAGCUAACGCAUUAAGCACUCCGCCCUGGGAGUACGGCCGCAAGGCUG